This 432-nucleotide unclassified non-coding RNA is filed under the name soil metagenome. RNAcentral's name for it is "partial contains 5.8S ribosomal RNA, internal transcribed spacer 2, and large subunit ribosomal RNA". The stretch from base 1 to 120 matches the Rfam family "5.8S ribosomal RNA", at positions 35 to 154 of the family's 154-position model. The record is from RNAcentral.
GAUGAAGAACGUAGCGAAAUGCGAUACGUAAUGUGAAUUGCAGAAUUCAGUGAAUCAUCGAAUCUUUGAACGCAUAUUGCGCUCUCUGGUAUUCCGGAGAGCAUGCUUGUUUGAGUAUCAGUAAACACCUCAACUUCCAUAUCUUUUUUGAAAUGGGAGUUGGACUUGAGUGAUCCCAACGCUUUUCCUCACCGAAAAGUGGCGGGUUACUUGAAAUGCAGGUGCAGCUGGACUUAUCUCUGAGCUAUAAGCAUAUCUAUUUAGUCUGCCUAAAAACAGAUUAUUACCUUUGCUGCAGCUAACAUAAAGGAGAUUAGUUCGUGUGCUGACUGAUGCAGGAUUCACAAAGACAGGCUUCGGCCGACUUUGUAAACUCGAUCUCAAAUCAAGUAAGACUACCCGCUGAACUUAAGCAUAUCAAUAAGCGGAGGA